AUGCAGCAGGGUUGGUUAUCUAAUUGGCUAGUCAAACAUGAGGUGGUUCAUAGAUCUUUGGGCUUUGAACACCGAGGAAUAGAGACUUUACAAAUAAAAGCAGGGGAUUAGGAUUCCAUUGCUGUCAUUUUAUAUGUAUAUGGUUACAAUUAUUUACGCUCCCUCGGGAAUCGGCGAACUACGCUACACAGUCAGAUACCUAAGCGAACGGAUAAGGGAAAGGCCGCUAUAUUAUAUAUAGUAAUCACCUGCCAAAAGGAAAGCCUGACCGAUAAUAAUAAUAGGUCUAUGCACCGAACGUCUUAG
RNAcentral lists this ribosomal RNA (306 nucleotides) under Triticum aestivum (bread wheat). RNAcentral describes it as "partial small subunit ribosomal RNA". The record is from RNAcentral. Lineage: Eukaryota; Viridiplantae; Streptophyta; Magnoliopsida; Poales; Poaceae.